Molecule: transfer RNA, 75 nt
Filed under: Candidatus Izimoplasma sp. HR2
Lineage: Bacteria; Bacillati; Mycoplasmatota; Mollicutes; Candidatus Izemoplasmatales; Candidatus Izemoplasmataceae
Also listed under: 1 other name
Description: Candidatus Izimaplasma sp. HR2 tRNA-Gln
Rfam family: tRNA
About the family: Transfer RNA (tRNA) molecules are approximately 80 nucleotides in length. Their secondary structure includes four short double-helical elements and three loops (D, anti-codon, and T loops). Further hydrogen bonds mediate the characteristic L-shaped molecular structure. tRNAs have two regions of fundamental functional importance: the anti-codon, which is responsible for specific mRNA codon recognition, and the 3' end, to which the tRNAs corresponding amino acid is attached (by aminoacyl-tRNA synthetases). tRNAs cope with the degeneracy of the genetic code in two manners: having more than one tRNA (with a specific anti-codon) for a particular amino acid; and 'wobble' base-pairing, i.e. permitting non-standard base-pairing at the 3rd anti-codon position.
Source: RNAcentral
UGGGCUAUGGCCAAGUGGUUAAGGCACCGGACUUUGACUCCGGGAUCGAUAGUUCGAAUCUAUCUAGCCCAGCCA